This 77-nucleotide transfer RNA is filed under the name Parcubacteria group bacterium ADurb.Bin192. RNAcentral's name for it is "tRNA-Val". It matches the Rfam family "tRNA". From Rfam's summary of the family: Transfer RNA (tRNA) molecules are approximately 80 nucleotides in length. Their secondary structure includes four short double-helical elements and three loops (D, anti-codon, and T loops). RNAcentral also lists the same sequence under 1 other name. The record is from RNAcentral.
GGACGCCUAGCUCAGUUGGUUAGAGCAUCUCGUUUACACCGAGAGGGUCAGGGGUUCGAAUCCCUUGGCGUCCACCA